This is a ribosomal RNA of 437 nucleotides. It matches the Rfam family "Bacterial small subunit ribosomal RNA", at positions 341 to 792 of the family's 1533-position model.
ACGGAAGGCAGCAGUGGGGAAUAUUGGGCAAUGGGCGGAAGCCUGACCCAGCAACGCCGCGUGAGGGAAGAAGGUUUUCGGAUUGUAAACCUCUGUCCUUGAUGACGAACACAAUGACGGUAAUCAAGGAGGAAGCCCCGGCUAACUACGUGCCAGCAGCCGCGGUAAUACGUAGGUUGCAAGCGUUGUCCGGAUUUACUGGGUGUAAAGGGCGUGUAGGCGGAGCUGCAAGUCAGAUGUGAAAUCCCGGGGCUCAACCCCGGAACUGCAUUUGAAACUGUAGCCCUUGAGUAUCGGAGAGGCAAGCGGAAUUCCUAGUGUAGCGGUGAAAUGCGUAGAUAUUAGGAGGAACACCAGUGGCGAAGGCGGCUUGCUGGACGACAACUGACGCUGAGGCGCGAAAGCGUGGGGAGCAAACAGGAUUAGAUACCCUGGUA